RNAcentral lists this ribosomal RNA (465 nucleotides) under uncultured bacterium. RNAcentral describes it as "partial 16S ribosomal RNA". It matches the Rfam family "Bacterial small subunit ribosomal RNA", at positions 28 to 507 of the family's 1533-position model. The record is from RNAcentral.
GACGAACGCUGGCGGCGUGCUUAACACAUGCAAGUCGAACGGAAAGGCCCUGCUUGCAGGGUACUCGAGUGGCGAACGGGUGAGUAACACGUGGGUGAUCUGCCCUGCACUUCGGGAUAAGCCUGGGAAACUGGGUCUAAUACCGGAUAGGAGCCAUUUUUAGUGUGAUGGUUGGAAAGUUUUUUCGGUGUAGGAUGAGCUCGCGGCCUAUCAGCUUGUUGGUGGGGUAAUGGCCUACCAAGGCGGCGACGGGUAGCCGGCCUGAGAGGGUGGACGGCCACAUUGGGACUGAGAUACGGCCCAGACUCCUACGGGAGGCAGCAGUGGGGAAUAUUGCACAAUGGGCGCAAGCCCGAUGCAGCGACGCCGCGUGGGGGAUGACGGCCUUCGGGUUGUAAACUCCUUUCGCUAGGGACGAAGCUUUUUGUGACGGUACCUAGAGAAGAAGCACCGGCUAACUACGUG